GGGAUAAAAUUUUAAUUUUACACAACAUACAAGAUCACCUAUCAAUACUAAUACGAGAUACCCACCCCAUGCUCGAUAAUGCUUUUAGGGUGCGUUUGGUUCGCAUUAUAAAAGAUUACUAGGAAUAAAAGAUAUCCGAGAAUCUUAUUACUAUUCAUCCUAUUACUAAGAAUGUGGAAUUCCUGUGUUUGGUUCACACGGUAAUAUUAAUUAGCCAUGCUAUUUAAUAUUACAAAAAUUAUACAAUUUAUUUAUUUAUUAUUUAUUUAAUUUUAGAUAAUGUUACCAAAAGUUUCAACAUCUUUUAGAAAAAAGGGAAAGAGAGUAUAAGUUAGAGCGAGAGAGCACAAUUAAAAAAAUAGAAAGAAAAAUAUAGUCGAAAUUAGAGGGAGUGAGAGAGUUGAAAUUUUAGAAAGAGAGAGAGAGAGAAAGCUUAGUUUAGAGAGAGAAAAAAAAGUUGAAUUUUAGAGAGAAAAAUAAGUUUAGAGAGAGAUAUAAGGUUAGAGUGUAAAGAAAAAUAAUAUCAAUUAGCCGGCAGGUAGGAAGAAAGAAAGAGAUUAGACAUAUUAUGAUUACCCCAAUCCAUUAAUAUGAGGAUACCCACCCUCCCUCAAGGGAAUGAGAUUAGUAUUUUGGGGUGAAUUUUAUUCCCAAGUGAAUCCAAUAUUACCAAUUAGAUUACUUAGUUUGUUUAGCCAAACACCGUCAUACUUUUUUAUUCCCAUUGAAUUACUAGGAAUCUUUAAAAGAUAGCGCGAACCAAACGCAACUUUAGAGUAACCUUGCACCAAUUUGUAUUACUACAUCACCGACUAGAUUAUAGAUUGGAUGAAUAAGAAAUACAGUAAUUCUGUGCAAUCCCGGUAGAAUAGUCUGAACCAAAC
This 884-nucleotide long non-coding RNA is filed under the name Ananas comosus (pineapple). Its description in RNAcentral is "long non-coding RNA (ACOM_LNC019839)". The record is from RNAcentral. Lineage: Eukaryota; Viridiplantae; Streptophyta; Magnoliopsida; Poales; Bromeliaceae.